RNAcentral lists this ribosomal RNA (251 nucleotides) under uncultured prokaryote. RNAcentral describes it as "partial 16S rRNA". It matches the Rfam family "Bacterial small subunit ribosomal RNA", at positions 525 to 775 of the family's 1533-position model. The record is from RNAcentral.
ACGAAGGGUGCAAGCGUUACUCGGAAUUACUGGGCGUAAAGCGCGCGUAGGCGGUUGUUUAAGUCAGUUGUGAAAGCCCUGGGCUUAACCUGGGAACUGCGAUGGAAACUGGGCGACUAGAGUGUGGUAGAGGGUAGCGGAAUUCCGGGUGUAGCAGUGAAAUGCGUAGAUAUCAGGAGGAACACCCAUGGCGAAGGCAGCAACCUGGACCAACACUGACGCUGAGGCGCGAAAGCGUGGGGAGCAAACAG